CGCAAUCACUCUGGAGAGCGAGGCUGUCAGGCCUCCACCGAAGGGGCUAACGGUGCUGCGGCACCGGAAAAUCUCAGGUGCCGGGACAGAGGGGUGUAU
This 99-nucleotide non-coding RNA is filed under the name Laribacter hongkongensis. RNAcentral's name for it is "Glycine sequence". It matches the Rfam family "Glycine riboswitch aptamer". From Rfam's summary of the family: This family represents the bacterial glycine riboswitch. Glycine riboswitches usually consist of two metabolite-binding aptamers domains with similar structures in tandem. The aptamers cooperatively bind glycine to regulate the expression of downstream genes. Lineage: Bacteria; Pseudomonadati; Pseudomonadota; Betaproteobacteria; Neisseriales; Aquaspirillaceae. RNAcentral also lists the same sequence under 1 other name. The record is from RNAcentral.